RNAcentral lists this ribosomal RNA (496 nucleotides) under uncultured bacterium. RNAcentral describes it as "partial 16S ribosomal RNA". It matches the Rfam family "Bacterial small subunit ribosomal RNA", at positions 29 to 507 of the family's 1533-position model. The record is from RNAcentral.
AUGAACGCUGGCGGCGUGCCUAAUACAUGCAAGUCGAGCGAACGGACGAGAAGCUUGCUUCUCUGAUGUUAGCGGCGGACGGGUGAGUAACACGUGGAUAACCUACCUAUAAGACUGGGAUAACUUCGGGAAACCGGAGCUAAUACCGGAUAAUAUUUUGAACCGCAUGGUUCAAAAGUGAAAGACGGUCUUGCUGUCACUUAUAGAUGGAUCCGCGCUGCAUUAGCUAGUUGGUACGGUAACGGCUUACCAAGGCAACGAUGCAUAGCCGACCUGAGAGGGUGAUCGGCCACACUGGAACUGAGACACGGUCCAGACUCCUACGGGAGGCAGCAGUAGGGAAUCUUCCGCAAUGGGCGAAAGCCUGACGGAGCAACGCCGCGUGAGUGAUGAAGGUCUUCGGAUCGUAAAACUCUGUUAUUAGGGAAGAACAUAUGUGUAAGUAACUGUGCACAUCUUGACGGUACCUAAUCAGAAAGCCACGGCUAACUACGUG